RNAcentral lists this long non-coding RNA (1989 nucleotides) under Brassica napus (rape). RNAcentral describes it as "long non-coding RNA (BNAP_LNC001512)". Lineage: Eukaryota; Viridiplantae; Streptophyta; Magnoliopsida; Brassicales; Brassicaceae. The record is from RNAcentral.
ACCGAGCAAGAGAAUGUCAACGGUGGACAAGAGCGACUCAAUGACACCAAUCUUUGUUGAGACCUUUGAGCCUCCGACAAUGGCAGCAAAAGGCUUCUUGGGGUUUGCCACAGCUCCGACAAGGUAAUCAAGCUCCUUCUGCAUGAGGAAACCAGCGACAGAAGGCUUCAAGUAUUUUGCAACUCCCUCGGUAGAAGCAUGAGCUCUGUGAGCAGUUCCGAAAGCAUCGUUGACGUAGACAUCAGCAGGGGCAGCAAGCUUCUUUGCGAAUUCAGGGUCGUUCUUCUCUUCUUCCUUGUAGAACCUCACGUUCUCCAAGAGAAGAACUCCACCUUCAGGUAGUCCUGCAACCAGUUUCUGGACUUCCUCACCAAUAGAGUCAUUUGCCAUCACAACCUCAACACCAAGAAGCUCAGACAAUCUCGGCACAAGAGGUUUCAAGCUGAAUUUAGGGGUAACACCUUUUGGGCGGCCCUGAAACAUAUAAUUGAUAUCAGAAACAUCCAAUAGUUACUACAAAAAUUGAAAUCAAAAUGUUCAAUAAUUUAAUUUUAAUGAACUUAAUGAAGGUAACAAGCCACUACUAAGACAUAACUGAUUAUCAAUGUUCCAUGAGCAACCAAACUAAUACAAAUGGUUCACAAAAGGCAUAAACUAUCAUGUAAGAAAGUGAAGUCAUCUGCAUAUGUAGCCGUCUAGCCGACCAAAUAACGAACUCACUGAGGACUCCUGGAAGUGGCUUUCCCUCUAGAAGCUCCAAACUUGCACCUCCUCCGGUAGAGAUGUGACUCAUCUUGUCAGCCAAACCAACCUUCUCCACGGCAGCCACAGAGUCACCUCCUCCUAUGAUUGUGGUCACUCCCUUUCCGCUCAGCUCCGCUAGCUGCUUUGCUACGGCCUGGUGGUUGUGGAACAUAACAAGGUAUCAAGUUAGUUAAGCAUAUUGACAUACUAUGAGUAAACGAUGGAUGUAUUAGCUGGGCUUACCUCAGUUCCAGCUGCAAACUUUUCGAAUUCAAAAACACCCAUGGGACCAUUCCAGAUGAUGGUCUGGGUCGUGUCCAGAGCCUCGCUGAAUGUCUUGAUGGAGUCUGGCCCAACAUCGAGUCCCAUCCAGCCAUCUGGGAUUGCCGUGGCUGGCACUAUCUGCAAAGAGUUCACAGGUGUGUCAGCUCUAAACAGAACAGAACAGACGCUGAAACGUUUUUAUGUCCGUUACCUUGCUGUUAGCAUCGGGAGCGAACUUAUCAGCAAUAACCACAUCGGUUGGGAGCAACAGAGAGACACCUUUGGCUUUCGCCUUCUCCAUGAGUGACUUGGCCAAGUCAAGCUUGUCCUCUUCCACAAGGGAAGAUCCAACCGAAUGUCCUUGCGCCUUGUAGAAAGUGAAAAUCAUACCUCCACCGAGCAAGAGAAUGUCAACGGUGGACAAGAGCGACUCAAUGACACCAAUCUUUGUUGAGACCUUUGAGCCUCCGACAAUGGCAGCAAAAGGCUUCUUGGGGUUUGCCACAGCUCCGACAAGGUAAUCAAGCUCCUUCUGCAUGAGGAAACCAGCGACAGAAGGCUUCAAGUAUUUUGCAACUCCCUCGGUAGAAGCAUGAGCUCUGUGAGCAGUUCCGAAAGCAUCGUUGACGUAGACAUCAGCAGGGGCAGCAAGCUUCUUUGCGAAUUCAGGGUCGUUCUUCUCUUCUUCCUUGUAGAACCUCACGUUCUCCAAGAGAAGAACUCCACCUUCAGGUAGUCCUGCAACCAGUUUCUGGACUUCCUCACCAAUAGAGUCAUUUGCCAUCACAACCUCAACACCAAGAAGCUCAGACAAUCUCGGCACAAGAGGUUUCAAGCUGAAUUUAGGGGUAACACCUUUUGGGCGGCCCUGAAACAUAUAAUUGAUAUCAGAAACAUCCAAUAGUUACUACAAAAAUUGAAAUCAAAAUGUUCAAUAAUUUAAUUUUAAUGAACUUAAUGAAGGUAACAAGCCACUACUAA